GCCUCCUUAGCUCAGUUGGCCAGAGCAAGGUCCUUGUAAGACCGAGGUCGUCGGUUCGAAUCCGACAGGGGGCU
Molecule: transfer RNA, 74 nt
Filed under: Streptomyces camelliae
Lineage: Bacteria; Bacillati; Actinomycetota; Actinomycetes; Kitasatosporales; Streptomycetaceae
Description: Streptomyces sp. HUAS 2-6 tRNA-Thr
Rfam family: tRNA
About the family: Transfer RNA (tRNA) molecules are approximately 80 nucleotides in length. Their secondary structure includes four short double-helical elements and three loops (D, anti-codon, and T loops).
Source: RNAcentral